CGCGGUUUAGAGAAAUUGGUUAUCUCGUCAGGCUCAUAAUCUGAAGAUUGCAGGUUCAAGUCCUGCAGCCGCAC
This 74-nucleotide transfer RNA is filed under the name Trebouxia sp. A1-2. RNAcentral describes it as "tRNA-Met". It matches the Rfam family "tRNA". From Rfam's summary of the family: Transfer RNA (tRNA) molecules are approximately 80 nucleotides in length. Lineage: Eukaryota; Viridiplantae; Chlorophyta; Trebouxiophyceae; Trebouxiales; Trebouxiaceae. The record is from RNAcentral.